AUGUCCUGACCCCACCUUAUUUAGUUUAAUGUUUCAUAACUUUCUUGAUUAAUUUACUAUUUAUUCUUGAUUUAUUUCUAACCUAGUCUUAUUAAUUGACUUUUGGUUUGACCUAUGUUUUGUUUUAAUUAAUUCACAUGCCAAUUUUCAUUAUUUUUAAAAUCUCUUUGGGGGAUGAUGAUGUCCUGACCCCACCUUAUUUAGUUUAAUUUUUCAU
Molecule: long non-coding RNA, 217 nt
Filed under: Lathyrus oleraceus (garden pea)
Lineage: Eukaryota; Viridiplantae; Streptophyta; Magnoliopsida; Fabales; Fabaceae
Description: Pisum sativum (pea) long non-coding RNA (PSAT_LNC021233)
Source: RNAcentral